Molecule: long non-coding RNA, 1292 nt
Organism: Gambusia affinis (western mosquitofish)
Lineage: Eukaryota; Metazoa; Chordata; Actinopteri; Cyprinodontiformes; Poeciliidae
Exons: 2
Source: RefSeq, a predicted model, not a curated record
CUACAUCGUGGCCUUUUGGAUGACCAGGGGAACCAGAUCAGAACGGAAAGAACCGGAUCUGGAGUCCAAGUAUCUGGAGGGAGCCGGACUCCGGUCAGAUCCGGGAGCUUCAGCUGCUGCAGGCGUUCAGAUGAAUUAUGAUGGCCAGAGGUUUAUCUCAGGAGGAAGAUUUCUCGUCACAUGAAAACGUCUCCAUGGUUACAGUCGUGUUGUAAUUAUUUUACUCACUCUUGCUUACACCAGUAGGUGUGCAAUUACAUUUCAAUUGUUUACAGUUUACUGUAAAAUCGUCAAACAUAUCAAAGCUUUCAGAGAGAACCGCUUAAAGCCGAGAAGUCCGACCUGCAGAGGCUAAAAUAACAUGUGGGAAGUGAUUUAGUUGUUUCACAGUAAUGCCUGAGGGGCCAAAAGUCCAGCUGCAGAGAUCAUCAGCAGGGACCCAGGGCGUCUUUAAACACUUCGUGCAGUUUAUUUCAGCCCAGAAACAAGAAAUGAUAGACAGCACACCCAAGACAACUGCAAAAGCAGCAGAUGUGAAGGAAAGAUUUAAAGCAGAAACUGUGAAUUCAGCAGUCUGUCCUCCCUGACAGCCAAUCCAAACGUUUGAGAGGAGCGCAGCGUUCAGAGACAUUCAUCACAAACCCCAGAAAGAACCCGAGCGCCGAUUCACAGAAACCGACCGAGCCACAGAACCAGAACGGCUCCGGGAGGAACAACGCGGCGCGUCUGUUUCCUACUUCACAGUUCAUUUAAUUCAGUUCAGUUCAAUUUAAUUCAGUUCCUGAUCAGGGGGACAUGGUUGCCACGGCAACGAGCUCAGAGACCUCAGUGUCAGUUUGGGUCCAAAUCCACAGUUUGUAUUAAAAUGUGGAAUUGAACAGGUUUGAUCAUCUGCAGGACAUCCUGACCUCUAGGCUCAAGUGGCAGACGAAGAAACUGGAUUUUAUUCCAGCUGAACUGGUGAAUGACCAGUUGGGCCGUCUGGUCCAACCAAGCAGACCAGAGCGCCAUCGCAUCACUAAAUGCAGAUGCAGAAACAUUCUAGAUUCUGCAUCAUGCUGUGUGUUUCAGAAUAGAUGUAAAAUUGUUUUUACUGGUUUUUGAAGUGUUAGUAGUUCCAGUCCAUAUGAAGCUACCGGGAUCCUCAGGAUAAACUCUACCAGAUCUAACAGAACGGGCUCAGAAUGAGCUGAACCGGGUCACUUCCUGGUUCUUCUCCCUAUUCUUAAGGUUCCCCAAGAGUCAGCAGAACAACGAUUGGAAAUAUUUUCAAUUAAACUAAGACAAUGUUC